GGGCCCGCACAAGCGGUGGAGCAUGUGGUUUAAUUCGAUGAUACGCGAGGAACCUUACCAGGGCUUAAAUGCAGUUUGACAGGUCCCGAAAGGGAUUUUCUUCGGACAGAUUGCAAGGUGCUGCAUGGUUGUCGUCAGCUCGUGCCGUGAGGUGUUAGGUUAAGUCCUGCAACGAGCGCAACCCCUAUUCUUAGUUGCCAGCGGUUCGGCCGGGGACUCUAAGAAGACUGCCAGCGCAAGCUGUGAGGAAGGUGGGGAUGACGUCAAAUCAUCACGGCCCUUACGUCCUGGGCUACACACGUGCUACAAUGGUGUUGACAGAGGGCAGCCACAUGGCGACAUGGAGCUAA
RNAcentral lists this ribosomal RNA (350 nucleotides) under uncultured bacterium. RNAcentral's name for it is "bacterial SSU rRNA". It matches the Rfam family "Bacterial small subunit ribosomal RNA", at positions 917 to 1271 of the family's 1533-position model. The record is from RNAcentral.